UUCUCCCUUGAGUCUUGACUUAAAGACUCUCCUACUAGUUGUUAAUGUCCCAAAGGACAGUUGUUUCCAAUUAAAAAACCAGAUUCUCUAGGCUGGGUGCAGUGGCUCACCGCCUGUAAUCCCAGAUGAGGCGGGCGGAUCACGAGGUCGGGAGAUCGAGACCAUCCUGGCUAACACGGUGAUACCCUGUCUCUACUAAAAAUACAAAAAAUUAGCCAGGCAUGGUGGCAAGCACCUGUAGUCCCAGCUACUCAGAGGGCUAAGGCAGGAGAAUCGCUUGAACCUGGGAGGCAGAGGUUGCAGUGAACCGAGAUCGCGCCAGUGCACUCCAGCCUGGGCAACAGAGUAAGACUCCGUCUCAAAAAUAAAUAAAUAAAUAAAAAUAAAAACAAAAAACGAAAUUCUCAAAAUAGCACAGAGCUGAAUUUGUGAAUGUACUUAACAAAUACUGCUAAAUUUAUUUGAAUACAAGAUGAUCAGCCUCGGAGGAGAGGACGAAGAGAGGCCGAGACCUGGCCCCAGGUGAAACGUCCGAGACCUCGCCAUUGCUUAGGAGGAGCGGAUGUCUUCCUUCUUCCCAUUGGUCCCUCCCUCUGCCGCUUCUCUUCCCACCCUGGCUCUACCAGAAGUUCUGAAUGUCUUCUGGGAAAACAGUUCUUGAUCUUACUGCUGAUGAAAGUGGAUAAUGUGUGAAAAAUUGACCUUUCAGAUGACUGGCUAACUGCUUUCAGUGUUAAAGAGAUUUUCCAGAUGGGAAAGAAGGGGAGAUGAACAGCUAAGAGGUUGUUUCCUGGAAGUGGCCUUGACAGCAUUUGGAGGCCACUGGGACUUUCAUUCCUUCUUUGCCCUUUAUCUCCGCAAACCACUAAGACAGCAGCACUGUGGGGAAGGAAAUGGAGAUUGCUUGCCCAAGAGGAAGUGAAGAAAGGAGACAUUCUCCAGGACUCAGCUGUGCUCACUACAGUCUCAAAGGCAGCAGAGUCCAGAAAGGGCCAGCACUGUUCUCCAGCGUCCUGGGGCUGUGGCUUGGCAGGACCAGGCAUUCCGUGGCUCUGUCGUGGUGGAGGUGCUGGUGUGGACCUCACUCAGUGGAGAGAGAGGCCUGGAAGAUCUUGGAACAGGAACAUCCAGCUCUGCUUCUCUCUUAAUCUCAGCCCGCACUCAGAGUGUUUAGUAGGUCAAGAUGGCAGCCAUUUCUAGGGGAUACAGGGACAAGUCAGUCAACACCAGAAAGAAGCAAUCAGACAAAUCAAGAAUAUACAACACUUAUAAAACUAUCAGCUUGGGUUCAUCAAAAAGUCAGUGUCAUGAAAGAAAGAAGUUGGAGGACUGUACCGGAUUAAAAGAGAGUGAACAGACACUACAACCAAAUACAAUGUGUGAAUUUUGAUUGGAUCUUGGUAAUUGUAAAAAAAACCC
Long non-coding RNA from Pan paniscus (pygmy chimpanzee), 1419 nucleotides. Lineage: Eukaryota; Metazoa; Chordata; Mammalia; Primates; Hominidae. The record is from Ensembl.